GGAAUUCGAUUAGAGUUUGAUCCUGGCUCCGGACGAACGCUUGCGGCGUGCUUAACAGAUGCAAGUGGAAGGGUGAACCCGGAGCUUGCUCCGGCGGAUUAGUGGCGAACGGGUGAGUAACACGUGAGUAACCUGCCCUUGACUCUGGGAUAACUGCUAGAAAUGGUAGCUAAUACCGGAUACGACCCUCGGCGGCAUCGCCAGGGGGUGGAAAGAAUUUCGGUCAAGGAUGGACUCGCGGCCUAUCAGCUAGUUGGUGAGGUAAUGGCUCACCAAGGCGACGACGGGUAGCCGGCCUGAGAGGGUGACCGGCCACACUGGGACUGAGACACGGCCCAGACUCCUACGGGAGGCAGCAGUGGGGAAUAUUGCACAAUGGGCGCAAGCCUGAUGCAGCAACGCCGCGUGAGGGAUGACGGCCUUCGGGUUGUAAACCUCUUUUAGUAGGGAAGAAGCGAAAGUGACGGUACCUGCAGAAAAAGCACCGGCUAACUACGUGCCAGCAGCCGCGGUAAUACGUAGGGUGCAAGCGUUGUCCGGAAUUAUUGGGCGUAAAGAGCUCGUAGGCGGUUUGUCGCGUCUGCUGUGAAAUCCCGAGGCUCAACCUCGGGCCUGCAGUGGGUACGGGCAAACUAGAGUGUGGUAGGGGAGAUUGGAACUCCUGGUGUAGCGAAGGAAUGCGCAGAUAUCAGGAAGAACACCGAUGGCGAAGGCAGAUCUCUGGGCCAUUACUGACGCUGAGGAGCGAAAGCGUGGGGAGCGAACAGGAUUAGAUACCCUGUAGUCCACACUGUAAACGAUGAUAACUAGGUGUUGGCUUUUCGGAGUCAGUGCCACAGCGAAAGCGUUAAGUUAUCCACCUGGGGAGUACGCC
This 874-nucleotide ribosomal RNA is filed under the name uncultured Microbacteriaceae bacterium. Its description in RNAcentral is "bacterial SSU rRNA". It matches the Rfam family "Bacterial small subunit ribosomal RNA", at positions 1 to 886 of the family's 1533-position model. Lineage: Bacteria; Bacillati; Actinomycetota; Actinomycetes; Micrococcales; Microbacteriaceae. The record is from RNAcentral.